AUAGUUAUGGUCUACUGUUAUAAGAAGAUUUCGGAGGAGCACGAAGCUCGGGAGGCCCGUAAAGCUCUCAAGGCUCAGGCACAACUAAUAGAAUCAAAAGACAACUGUGACGGGGUGCAGCUAGAGUAACACUACUGGUGAAAAAAGAUCAUCU
Molecule: long non-coding RNA, 154 nt
Organism: Micropterus salmoides (largemouth bass)
Lineage: Eukaryota; Metazoa; Chordata; Actinopteri; Centrarchiformes; Centrarchidae
Exons: 3
Source: RefSeq, a predicted model, not a curated record